RNAcentral lists this ribosomal RNA (158 nucleotides) under Arabidopsis thaliana (thale cress). The record is from RNAcentral. Lineage: Eukaryota; Viridiplantae; Streptophyta; Magnoliopsida; Brassicales; Brassicaceae.
GUCUUAAAAAAGAAUAGAUACGAUUGCAUGUAGUAACGGAUGCGAUUAUACCAGCAUUAAUGCACCAGAUCCCAUCAGAAAUCUGCAGUUAAGCGUGCUUUGGCGAGAGUUGUACUAGGAUGGGUGACCUACAGGAAAGUCCUCGUGUUGCAUUCCUC